GACGAACGCUGGCGGCGUGCUUAACACAUGCAAGUCGAACGGAAAGGCCCUGCUUUUGUGGGGUUCUCGAUUGGCGAACGGGUGAGUAACACGUGAGUAACCUGCCCUUGACUUUGGGAUAACUUCAGGAAACUGGGGCUAAUACCGGAUAGGAGCUGCUGCUGCAUGGUGGGGGUUGGAAAGUUUCGGCGGUUGGGGAUGGACUGGCGGCUGAUCAGCUUGUUGGUGGGGUAGGGGCCUACCAAGGCGAUGACGGGUAGCCGGCCGGAGAGGGUGACCGGCGACACGGGAAGGGAGACACGGUCAAGAGGCCUAAGGGAGGCAGCAGUGGGGAACAGGGGGCAAUGGGCGCAAGCAUGACCCAGCCAUACCGCGUGUGUGAAGAAGGCGUCCGGGGUGUAAAGCCCUUGUGUGGGGAAAGAAAAGCAGCAGCUUAAGACCCCGCUGGUCUGACGGUACCCAAAGAAUAAGCACCGGCUAACUUCGUG
RNAcentral lists this ribosomal RNA (488 nucleotides) under uncultured bacterium. RNAcentral describes it as "partial 16S ribosomal RNA". It matches the Rfam family "Bacterial small subunit ribosomal RNA", at positions 28 to 507 of the family's 1533-position model. The record is from RNAcentral.